Molecule: ribosomal RNA, 403 nt
Filed under: uncultured Strombidiidae
Lineage: Eukaryota; Ciliophora; Spirotrichea; Strombidiidae
Description: partial small subunit ribosomal RNA
Rfam family: Eukaryotic small subunit ribosomal RNA
Source: RNAcentral
GCUUGUCUCAAAGAUUAAGCCAUGCAUGUCUAAGUAUAAGCAAUUUGUACUGUGAAACUGCGAAUGGCUCAUUAAAUCAGUUAUAGUUUAUUUGAUCUUACCUUACUACUUGGAUAACCGUGGUAAUUCUAGAGCUAAUACAUGCUGGCGUGCCCGACUUUUGCGGAAGGGCGGUAUUUAUUAGAUAACAAGCCAAUAUUCCUCCGGGUCUAUUGUGGUGAUUCAUAAUAACUGAUCGAAUCGCAAGGCCUUUGGCCGCGAUAAGUCAUUCAAGUUUCUGCCCCAUCAGCUUUCGAUGGUAGUGUAUUGGACUACCAUGGCGUUCACGGGUAACGGAGAAUUAGGGUUCGAUUCCGGAGAGGGAGCCUGAGAAACGGCUACCACAUCUAAGGAAGGCAGCAGG